This is an RNA transcript of Chlorocebus sabaeus (green monkey), 12962 nucleotides long. RefSeq lists it as uncharacterized. NCBI's taxonomy places the organism in Eukaryota, Metazoa, Chordata, Mammalia, Primates, Cercopithecidae. The record is from RefSeq and is a predicted model, not a curated record.
UUUUUAAAAGUGCAAUUUUCAAAACAUUUCCUCUACUUCUUGCCAGUAGCAUUAGAAAACUGCUCUCUAAAUAUAAUUAUUUAAAAUUUGACUUUUUUUUAACAUUAAAGGUUUAAAGAGAAGAGCUUAGAAAAUUUGAUUGUUAGUCAUUUUCUGAAGAUUGGCUAACUUUGGUGAUAAAAUGCAAUCAGGUGCUCCCUAUGUUUCCCUUCAGCCUUGAAAAUAAGCAGCUUUUCAUUUCUUUAGAGAAAAUGAUCAUUUUGGAGAUCAAUAAAAUUAAUACUUAUUUUAUGUGGAUUUUAUUUCUAGAACUAGUAAAUUAAGAACCAGGGUUAGGUGAUGUCAAAAGGUCUCUUCUGGCUUGAAAAUUCUUUAUGAAGUACCAGUUUUCUAAAGGAGCCAAUAACCAUGCCUAUAUUAUUGUAAUCGCACUUAUUCAACCAAUGUUUAGCUUUCUUUAGUAGAGCAGCAGCAAAAGUUCCAUGCUUCGGUAUACAAGUAAUAAUUGUGGCUUGAAGUAAUUUCCAAAUAAUUGAUUUUUGAAGGUAUUAAAAAAAAAAAAACCCUGAUAUGUUAGUGCUUUAUUAACUCUGGGAUUUUAUAGAGCUCAACUUGAGGCUCCUUUACUUGGGUUUCUUACUUUAAGUCCUCUUGAAGGUAAUAUUUUAUGUAAGUGGUUAAUUUCCCAAGAAUUAAUUUUAGGUAUUCAGAGACAAGUACUCCUCAGUAUGUAUCUAUGUAUGUAUAUGAAUACAUUUUAAUAUAAAGUGUCUUAUAAAUUUCACAUUGUGUUUUGCUUUGCUGUUAUUUCAAAGGAUUUAAGUGAAUGGUGGAUAGUGCUCAAUUUCCUGAAAUGAUUAAAUUCACUCUCUGAAGAAUCUGGGGAAAAGGCCUGUAAUGACAUUUUGAUGACUUUCAUUUUAAGGUGUAAUAGAAAUUGAGUAAAAUGUUUUAAUAGCUAUUCUCUAAUAUCUUGUUCCAAAUACAAUGUUUUUAUUGCUCAUUCUAGCUUACAAUUUUGUGGUGAUAAUAAUGUUGGCUGGUAAUUGUUUCUUGUAUAGAAAUCAUUUUAUCCUUAUGUAAAAGUUAUUUCAGAAAAGCCUUCUUGCGUUUAUCUCAGAUGAAGCAAUUGCAUUGAACUCUUGAGAUAAAACAGUGAGUAUUUCCAGAUUGCGCCUACUUUAAUUCGACACUUCCUUAGGAGAAUUAGGAGUGUCUUAAAGGGAAGAAUAUUUGAUACGAUAGUUUGUAGUUUAAGGAGAAAAAACAAAGAGGCAUGCAAGUCAGAGAAAGCUGAGAAAAGAAAAAGGAAAGAAGGAAUAAAUGCUGAGUGAUUUUACUUUGCUCGGUUUUACUUUGUUUGCCAGAUGUCAUAUAUACUUUAAAAUUUAAAAUUGGAUUAAGAAAUAAAAAAGUAUGUAAAUAUGCUGUUGUUAUAGUUAUCUUUAUUAAAUAGGUAAGUGCAGAGAUAUAAACUUAAUAAGAUUACAGCUAAUGUUACCAGGAACAUCUUUGCACCUCAGUUCUUUCAGGAGAUGUACACAUAAGUAAAGUUAAUCACAUAGCUUUUAAAGAAUCAAAUCUUUUGGGUGCUAAAGUUAUGACAUAUUAGAUCAAUUUUCAUGUAAGUCAAAAUGAAAUCCUUACAUCAGUUUUUCUGUGCAAGUUACACAAAGCCAAUAGCUUCCAGACUGCUUUGUUCUAAAUGCUAAUUAGACAAAUUUUUAUACAAUUUAACUUGAUUAUAGUAAAUAAUUAGUCAGAAUAUAAUAUUGCUGAAUUAACACACCAUUAGUGUAAUUUUUUAUAGAAGUAAAAUUAAGCUCUGGCAUCUGAUUACAUUAUUCUCUCCUGAUAUGUUUACUACAUUUCUCCAAGUUUGCUUUCUUUUUGUCAUUAUGUUCCUUUUCAAAUACCACUAUUACAGAUCAGCUAUUAUAAUACUUACUUAUAGUUCCUUUCUGCCUACUAUAAUUCUGCCUUUGUCUUUGUGCUGUGCCAUUAUUCUUAUCUGUCACCUAGAAAGGUGUAUUGACUUUGAAGCUAUUUAUCUGACCCAUUUGCCUGAAUUUGGGUGAGGUGGGGGAAAGGCUAAAACUUGGUUCAUUAGAAAUUGUGUAUGAAGUGCUAAAAGAGUUGGCUUUGGUAUGUCCACGGGAUUGAUAUUAGGAUAUGGAUUUUCUUAGUAGUAGCCGGUUAUUUGUGCAAUUCAAUAAAAUCUUUUCUUCAGCUAUCUUGGUUUAUUUUCCACAAAACAGAGCAUCAUCUAGGAAAUUUAUUAUACAGAAUGCACUGUCAGGGAGGGGUCCUCUUAGAUAGCUAGUAAAAAUAGAACUCCAAGUUACUGUUCUACCUUGUUGGCAAGGAUACAUGGUAAAGCUUUAUCUACAGGUUUUGUAUGUAAUCAUCUUUGUAAUCCAACAGCAAAUUUUCAUUUGUUUCGCUAUCAGUUGGAUAGCUGUUGCUUAAAUGCUAGCAGAAUGAUUUAAGAAAAAAGUUAUCCUAGAAAGCUUAAUUACACACUCUAGGACUCACUAAUAAUUUAUUCAGAUUUUAAAAUGUGAGCAUCGUAUUUGCUUAACUGUGUUUAUAAUCUCUUUUCCAAGAGAAGGGCUAUAUAGGCUCGUUAUAUCCCUUAAUCCUUCUAAAGUUGCUAGACUUUAUGAUCCUAUAAUACUAUACUGUAUAUUGUACAAAACCUUUUUGCAUCCUUACUAAUAUCUCUAAGCCAUGCAUUCAUGCCUUUUAUGUUACUUGACAUUAUUUAAGCACAGCAUGCUUGUGAUUUAUAAGUCUGUGAAUGUCCUGUGUUUUUCUGACAAUUGAGUUCGUAGUUCAAACGCAGUUACUGAAGUAUACUAGUAGGCUAGUAGUUUCCUUAGAGAGAGACAAGGUAACACAGAGUGGUUAGGAACAUAUGAUUUGUAGUUAAUUAUCACAAUCUCAAGUGUUUUAACAUAGUUUACUGUAGAGAUCUUAAAACAUGCAGAAUUUCCAGAAAAUAUUUGAAGAAUUCAGUUUGCUAGAAAUUGGAAACAUGGAAGUCAAAUGAAUUAUUUUAAAAAUCUCCUCCCAUAUGGAUUUAGAAAGCAUUCAUUUAUUCCUUUACUCAUUCAUCAAAUGUUUAUUCAGUGCCUACCAUGUGCCAGACACUAUUCUUGUGGCUCUUGAUUUGUCACCAUUAGUUCAGUAUUUCAUAUAUUUUCCUGAUUUUGUAGAUUAUGGGAAUCUUACUAGUGAUUUAUACAUCAUCAGUGAAUCACACAUCACAAUCCAUAUUAUUUUGGAGUGUAUAUUUCUCUUUUCUACUCUUUAAAUAGCUUAAGAUAUAUUCUAGGCAUAUAUACCAAUUUAGUAAAAAGGGAAAGAUUUAUACAAUCUGAAGUGAAACCAGAGUGUGUGUGUGUGUGUGUGUGUGUGUGUAUACAUAAAAUAUAUAUAUACACCAAUUUAGAAGAAGAUAUUAGUAAAACAGUCAGAAUGUGCUCCAAGAAGUUAUCUUAUUGAUAUGUAUUUAGAAAGUCUAAAUUUAUCCCAUUUUCCUUAUUAUUCAGGCCCACUCUGCAGCAGACACUAAAUUGGUUUUAUUGUUUUUAUGCUUCCUUCCAAGGCUUCCUGUAUUAUUUUAAGGGAUUUCUAAUUCUAAUUAUCAAUGGCUAACAUUUACCUUCUAUAUGUCAGACAGUGUGCUAAGCCCUUUACCUUCAUUUUCUAAUUUAAUCUUCUCAAUCACUUUAUGAGAAUGGUAGCAUCAUUACUCCUGCUUGUAGAUGAGGAAACUGAGGUUUCGAGAAGUUAAAUAACUUCUUCAAGGUCACAGAGCUAACAAGCAGCUGAGAUGACUUAAAAUCUAGGUCCUUCCGGUGCUAUUAAUUUUUCUUGAUAUUCAACACAUAUUUUUGAGCCUCUACAAUGUCCUAGGCUUGUUCAAGAUGUUCAGAAUAAAGCAGUGGCUAGAACAGGCUUUAAAACCCUGUACUUUAUUGCCUAAGUCAAUGCCCUGAGAAUACAGGUGCCUCAUAACUACCUUGACACUUUUAUUAUGUUAUUUUCUUCGGCAUUCAGGGAUUCCCCAGAGCCAACAGGAUACAAUUUUAAAAUGUCAAACUUUUUUAGAUCUUAUACCAUUUGGCUUCAGUCUUUCUUUCCAACUGUAUCAUUGUCUAUUUCUAAAUAGGGAUGUUCUACACUGUAUGGCUGAUUUGCUCAUUGCCCCCACAAAGUUUGUCUUGCAUUUUCUCUGGCCAUUCCUGCACCUGAAAUAAUUCUGCCACUGCCUUCUCAAAGACUUCAAACCUUCAAUGUCCACGUCAAAGCCCCUGGCUCUGAGGAAGCGUGUCUUAGAAAUAAAAUCCCCAAAUUCUUUUAUCUACAUUGAUUAUUUGACACAUGGCACUUGUAACAACUAAGAUUAUUCAAGGCGAGAUGAUCCUCCACAUUUUUUUUUUUUUUUUUACCAUGUCUAUGUUUGUAGGUGUGCCCAACUGACAUACUGGCUAAGAGUUCAGGGACCUAGCAGUGAAAUAAGAAAAGACUAUUCAAAAGAUAGGACCUGAAGACUAGGAAGUAAGAGCCCCCACUGCCUAGCAUAGUGCCUCACAUAGGGUAUGCAGUUCAUACAUGUUUUGGGCCAGGAAAAGAGGAGAAGGGGAGUGAGGAGGAAGAGAAUGACAAUGGAGGAAAGCUUACAGGGAAGGAGAAAAUAAUACUCCUAAAAUCAUAUCCUAAGGCCUUUAAAUGUCUUUAAAUAUUUAUAUUAGGGUUAGAGAUAUCAUUAAGGAACAUAUUAAUAUAUGCAAUAUAUUUUUGAUUCUUCCUGGAAUAGAUUGUCACUUUUAUCUAUAUUAAUACAUUUGAUAUAGAAUGGACAUUCUGGUGUUUCUAAGGAAAAGUGCAAUUGUGUUGUGUUUGUCUGUUUUCCAUCACAAUUCAGGCCUACAAUGCUGUUAACUCUAAGUUGAUUUUGCUGUUUUACACUGUAAAUGAUGAUUUUUCUACUUCCUGGGACAUAUUUCAGUACCAUAAAAGUUGCUGACCACCCACCACUCCUCAAAAAAGAGCCAUUUCCUUAACCAUCAUAAAGUUUUAUUACCUAAUACCUCAUGUUGGGUUUUUAUUUUCAAUAAAAGCCAAAUUCAACAUUCAAACUCCUAGUGCAAAUCUCCUGUAUCAAUAAACAGUACUUGUGGUUAAUUUUAUUAUAUUUUUUUGCUUGAUUAUAUGCAAAGGUGUAGCCUUGAAAUCUUAAGAGAGAUAUGGGUCUGUAUUUUUAUGAACACUCAAACCAAGUUAUUAAGGUAGAAAUUUUACUUCAUAGGAAAAUCCAUGUGGAUAUUUAAAAAAAUCAACUACUAUAUCUGACCUCUGCUGUAAGGCUGUUUUACUGGCUAUAAGAGCCAGAUUAAUGUACAUAGAUAUAAACAUAGAUAGGGCUUCCUUCAAGGAGGCAUUACUUUUGCAUAAUAUAUGUGUAGCGUGUGUUAAUUUUCCUGGGUGAAGCAAGCUAGAAAAGUUGCUUCUUAAACCAGUGAAUGAACUUAUAUGGGAGGACCCUGCUGAAGCAGCCCCGUUUUUGAGAAUUCCUACCUGCUAGUGGAGAUAAGUGAGCAUAAAGCUUUGGCCAUAAGGCUUUGAGUUGUCCUGCUUUUAAGAAACAAGAGAUAUUUCCACAGUCUGUCUUGUAGUAGUAGUAACUGAACAGUCCAUGAGAGUUCCAGAAACGAACUGUGCUCCAAAUGCUUAUCACAUGCUGUGUUGACGUCGGUAAAAUGCAGAGGAUGAGCUGGGCUCCCCUUUAACCCUAACUUUCUAUGGUGCUUUCAUUUUGACACUAAUUUCCGACAUGAACCUUGGCACUUAGCUACAGUGUGUAAUUGUUGGUAUCUCGCUGCCACCUGGGUGCACAAUGAGAGUAGCAAAUGGAGAACAAUAUUUAGCCUCUGUGAUUUGCCACAAGAACACACAACAUGCAGUUGGAAAGGGAAAUAUUUAAUCAGCCAGUUUUCUCAGUACAGUCUCCAUCAGUUGAGUUGGUUGAAGAUUUUCUUCCUCUGUAUUAACGGCUUGUUUUGUCACUGUGAAGAUAAAUCCUUUGGCUUCCUCUUGAAUUCAUAUUAUGCAAAUUUGGGGACAUUGCAUAUUAAUUUGAACAUACAAGCAUAAAGAAGAUACUUUUAUGCUAAAUUCAUAGCUCACUUUGGUUAAAAGAUUUUUUUAAAAAGCUCCUGGAGUCCUCUGUUUUGUUAGUUGGCUGCGGACUUAAUAUGUGAAAGACUGUAAGUGACGCACGAAUAAUACCAUUCCGUUUUUAGGCAUGUUGUAUGAUGAUGCUGUUGAUCUUUAAAAGAAAUUCCAUUUGGUGACAUUUACAGAAAUAGUUUUGUGUUAGCAGCUUUUAAUUUUAAUUUUAAAAAAUAUUGAGAAUGGUGUAACUUUCAAGUGGUGAGGAAGCCAUCUAGAAGGUAUAUACUUACGUAAUGGAAAUAGGAGACAUACAUUGACUCUCAUCAGAUGUUGUGCUUAUAUUCAAUCCAGGGAAACAGUUUGACAAGUAAGAAUAUGGUAUAGUGCAGAAUGCCAGUAUAACCAGGCGGAUCACCUUAAAGACUCAGAUCUAUUUUAUUUUAAACCUGAUGUUUUUAAAGUGCUAGGAAGAUCCGAAUCCAGAGUCGAGUAGUCCUCACUUGAAUCCUGCUGAUUCAGGGCAAUGCAGUCCAGUCCACGACAAUUCACUCAGUUACUUACUGAUUGGAUCUCUAAUAUUUAUAAACAUUUUAAACUCCUCCAGUCAAUUAUCUCUUUCGUAGUAUUAUUUCAUCUUUCGGUUGGGUAACUACAGUAAGAUAGAUGGGUACAUAUGGCAAAGAAUUUCUGGUUCUUUCCCACAAAACAAAAUAUUUCAAAGAGUUCAGAAUUUCUACAUGGUUUGGAAAUUUAAUUUUUCAUUCCAAAUUGGGUAAAAGUCGGUAUAGUGUAUAAUCUUUCAGACUAAAAUGGUUUCUCUUUGACCCCAAUAAUUACAAUUAUUAUUAUAACUUUGGAAAGAUUUUCAAUCAUUCAUUCACUCAAUCAUUCAAUUGGCUUUUUUCCCUAAUUAUCUCAUCUGAACAAUGUUGCUAAUGGCACUGUGAAGGAUUUUAUAAAAGGAGAAAAUAUAACCGUUCUCUCGUCAACUGUAGUAGAAUUGGAGAGAAAAGAAAACCUUGAAGAACUAAUUGAAUAAUAUAAUGAAAUUACUGUUAGCAAUCAUACUUUAGUAGUGUGAAGGGAAAAGCUAUUUCUGCACAGGUAGAAAGCAGUAUUAACCAUCAAAUAUAACUUUCAGGCUCAGAAUAUAGGUUCAGAUUAUUUGUUGUGAGAAUAAUGAGAAUAUUCAGAAUAAAGGCUAAUUCUUGGAAAUGGAUUUUAGAAUUUUCAAUUGAUUUCAUCAGCAAAAACAUAAGGCUUUCAUUUCAUAAAAACUUAAAAAAAAUGUAACUACGUCAUCCUGUUAGUGAUUAAUUCAACUGUCUAAAAAUUACAAAUAUUUUACUUUAUUGAAGGUUUAUAGUAAAAUACGUGUAUGUGUAUCGAAGACUGGGGGCUUAGUGGAUUUAUUGGUGCCCUUAUUUAACUUUGCAAUAGUCUUCCGAAGUUUGGACAUGAAUGUAAAUUGAAAUAUUUUAAAAAUAGUUUACAUCAUUGCUUGUGCCUAUCUUCUGAAAUUUGUCAACUUCCUUGCUAUCUUGAGAAGAUAGGCUAACACAUUCUAUGUGAUGGAAAACUUUUCAAAGCUGUCUUUCACAUCUCAGGAUGUGUAAAGCCCUGCCCAUAGCUUCAUUCUCUGGCAGAAAUAUUAUACCAUUUACCCACAUAGAUAAAAACACUAUUUCAAACAAAAUAUAACAUUAAGCAAAGAGCUUUGGUAUUGGUUCAAUUUUCACUUUCUAUCUCAAAUAUGAAAGUUUACGAUUUUAAGGAAAAACAACUUCGUAUGCAUGUUCAUUACCAUUUUCCAGGAAAGCCAAAGAUUAGCAGGCCAAAAAGAAUUGGAAAACUUCACUUUAAAAGCCUUGACAUUUUUGCCCUUAGUUACCUGUGUGUUGAAAAGCAAAGGCCUAAUAAUGACUUAAUUAUUCUCUUCUUUUCUCUAGUGGAGUUUGUGUUUUGUAGAUGUAGAGAAAAGAGCCUUGACUAUUUCUGGCUUCUCUGCCCAGGGAAGGGAAGAAUUGGCUAAAAAAGUACACAUUGCUAGCAGAUAUUUCUUAUUGACAGUGUAUGGUAUUCUGUGAGCUGUGGAAGACAGAUGCCCUUUUAUUGGGGGCAGGGAGAGGAUGUAGCAAAGGACCAAUUUUCCUGGAGAUCCUAUUAUGUGAAGGGACUUAUACUAGACACAUCAUGGAGAAAAUCAGAAAGAAGGCUGCUUAAUGAGACCCACUCCUGGAUGCAGCCACUCUCAAUUCUCAGUGUCUUUGGGAAGCAAGUUUCGCCAUCCACUUGUCUAAACAGAUAAUGACAGCAGAGGUGCUACACACCUUCUCCCUGUGACUUGUGAAUGCCUUUGGUGCUCCCAAAUAAGGAACUCCUCUCACUGCUGUCUGCUCUGAGCUGUAUUUCAUUUUGAUAGCCAUUUGCAGGAGACACCUUUGAACUCCAUGCAAUGUAAAAGAUGUGGUUGAGAAAUUCUUCGGUGGAAUUUCUUCUCCUUUCCACCACCCUCAUUUUCCUCUGGGUGAUUUAGAGCUUGAAGAUUAGGUACUUAGAGACAGUAUAUCUGACCCACCUUUAAAGAUACACAUUAAGACUCACACAAUUUGAAGAAAAAAGAAGCCAAAAAACAAAACAAAACAAACCAAAAAAAAAAAACCUUGAGAAGGCCAAAGGAUUAUAGUAUUAAGAAAAUAUGGUAUAUGGUUAAAUUUAGAAAUCAGAAGAGUUGAAAGAAAAUAUGUGGAAAAAAUUGUUUUUAUUGAAUUGUAGAUUCAGCUAUUCCCAGUUUCACUUUCACUUGCUGGAUCAUAACGAUCAUAAUGUCCAAUUUCUUCUUCCAAUUUAAUUUUAGUGUCGUCCCUCUAAAGUAAAUAUGCUUGAGAGUAGGCAUACUUACUGUUAGGAGAUGGUACACCUCUUUGGUUCAUCUCCAGUGUACUCAUUCAUAAUAAUGUAACUUUGGCAUAAAUUGCUCAUUGCCUUCUGUCUUUUCCCCAAUAAUGUAGCCAACGUAUUUUGAGUAAUGUUGCUUCCGAAAACAAAUACAACUUCUUAGCUUUCAUCUUGAAAUAUUUAAACUUGAAAUCUGAAUUGCAGCGCUACAUCAGUCAAUGUCCAGCAGCACAAAGUUAUUUUCUUGCACCUCUGGUGAAUUCAUAGCUUGUCAGUAAUCAGUGAGUUUCUACUUCUCAGGUGCAUGUUUAUUUUUCUAGGCUACAUUGAUCAGUCGUGGUUUCAGCCGUUUUUACCUUGGAGUUUGUACCCUGUGAUUUGAGGGCCUUGGAAGGCUUUUGAAGGUCAAAUAUUCUAAUAUCUGAGCGUACACUUUCAAGAGAAGGUAAUUGGAAUAUAGGCAUCUAUGUCUGAUGGUAUUUGGAAGAUCUCAGCUGAUGUCGUCUUUUCUUUUUCACUUUGGGACCAUAAGAGAAGCAGCAACCUUUGUGGAAGGGUACAGCCUUUGGAGUCAAACCAAAUUAGAUUAAAAUUCCAGACCUACUAUGACCUUGGACCAAUUGCUUAGUAUCUUUGAAACACAGUUUCUUCCUCUGUAAAAUAAGGAUUAUAAUACCCACCUUAGUAAUUUUUUUAACCAUUUCCCACAUGUCAGGCAUCAUUUUCACAUGGACUAAAGGCAAGCAUUAUGAUCCUUCACACUUUACAAGUUACUAUACAGAGGUUUAGAGAGGUCAAAAAAACACCCAAGAACACACAUAGUUGUUAAGUAGUGGGUCCUCUUGUUGAUUCUCUUAUUUCAGUAGAAUUUGUUUUUAGAAAAGGACGUGCAGGGUCCAAAAAUAUAUACUUAAUAAAUAUAGUUUCCCCCAUGUGAUUUAGUUUAAGCCCUUGGGUGUAUAUUAGAGAUAUACUAAAGUAUUAAUACUGCAGUGUUAAAGCUGUAAUUUCUAUUUCACCCAUGUUGCUGCAUCACAUACUGAUGCUGUUUGAGAGUGUGCUUUUAAGUGGCUGUGGAGGACUAUAUGCUAUGAGAGCUGCUUUAUGCUUUUCUUUUUGAAGAUGUUGAUGGUGCUCUCAUCUUGAUGAGCACAACUCCUUUUCAGUAAAGAUUCUGGAUAAAUGUCUGUUGCAUGGAAUUGAAUGCUAGUCUACAAGGCAAUUUUUAUACCUUAGAUGAAGAGUGGAUGCCAUUUGCAGAAGAACUUGACAUUCUCAGGGAGUCAUUUUAUAGCCUAAAAGAAUUUUAUAUUUGUGAUUGCAUGACUCUUGAUAAAGAAUAAAGAAAAGAAUUAUUUACUUGGAAUUUAAAACUUUCAUUCCACUGUGGCUUCAUCUGCUGCCCAUUUGCAGGACACUGAUAAAUUCAACUUCUUCUCCCGCUUCAUCUGCAGGCUCUUGAAGUCUGUGGGAUGUCCAAGUGUGUAUAGAAACUCGGAAAUAGCACAGUCCCUCUGGUUAAGAAUAACAUGUCAGUUUUCUUUUCUUGCUUUUGUGUGCUCUCUGGAGCUCACCCAUGCAUGAUGUUCCAGUGGACUUCAAAGGCAAGUCUAUGGUUGGAUUAGCUCCACAGGACAGAGAGCAAGAUUUGAGGUUAACAUGAGCAUAAUGUCCUGGAUGAAGCUUUGGAAGUACUUGUGAAGGAUUCUCAGGAUGAUGGAGUGAGUGAUGGAAUAGGUUGUCAACUGUAGUUACUCCACUCAGCGCAGAAUGGCGGCGGGGAAAUAUAAUCAGACAUGCCCAAAGAAGUCUGCUUAGGGUGAAACAAAUACCUUUGAGGUUUAAAUCAGAAAGGAAGGAGAGACUGUUUCUACAGGUGUCAUAGAAAAAUCAAUACUGAGCCAAGGAUUAUUGGAUCCCAUAGAACCAUGGAGGCGUGGCAGUGAAAUUCUCCCAAAGGCAGACGGUGUUCCUAGGUUUGGAAAUAUAAAUCCCAUGGGAAGUUAGCCGAAGAACAUUUUAUGCAUCACUUAUCCUGUUACGAGCCCUGUGCUGUUCUGUCUCUCUAUAAGACUGGCUGAAACCACAACGGGUGUUUGCAAUCUGCACUCUAACUUUGGAUCACCUGGUUAAUACUCUGACUCUGAUUAUUACCAAAGACAAUAUUCUCUAAAAGAUAUUCUCUAUAAGAAGGAUGCUCCUGCAUUAUUAAUAACAUCACAGGGAAAAUGCAACAUUUUGGAUGUCACAUCUGAUAAGUUGGCAGUUAAAGAACAGAAACACAGCAAUAAGACUGAGUGGCUACAUUUUCCCAGUGCCACCAACUGGGAGUUAAGCUGACUAACAUUUUGAAAGCCCAGCCCAUUUCAUUCACAGCAGGAUGGCAGUGGGUGACUGAUCGUACCCGCCGGCUGGCUAAUGUCAUAAUUAACAAAGUUGCUACUACAUCUGCAAAGUUUAAUCGAAAAAUUUGCCAGUGAUAUGAUGGCAUUGUCACAGAGAUCACAAGGGACACGUAGUCGACUUUUGCUCAAGAUGGAACGACAGAGCUGUGUAGGCAAGAUGAGAAAUUGCAAACUUGUUCGGCCAAAGGAGGCUAAUAAUGAAGGGGCCGGGAAGGAGGCCAGUGCUACCAGGGUUAUCUCACAACCUCAGAUGCUGGAUAAGUCGAAGGAGGCAGAAUCGCUUUGGGAUGACAUUCAGAAAGGCUGGAGUGAUUACUUGGAAGAGAAAACCCUACCUAUUCUUUCCAAGGUUCAGGAAUAUUCCCCUGACCUGCUCAUCCAAUGGUCCAGUAAUGAAUUACUGGAGACCUGCCUUAGACAAAGAAUGCACUCAGAGCCCCCACACACCUAAAGCCACGCUUUGAAGGAUCUGCCAAGCUCACUUUUAAUCAUGAGAAAGAAAUUACCCACACGGAGUCAGCAGAAAAUGAGAAAGUAGAGCUCGUGCUGUGAAUAAUUCCAGCAAGUGCCAAGGGGCUAGUUGAGGAAUGGCUUCAUGAGGGGAACUAUUAAUAGCCCGCCAGUCGGGUAGGCAGCAUUCAAUCCUUCUAUGCCUUCUUUCGCCACCUGUUGAGGUCUUUCUUCUGAAACAAAGAAGAAAUAGACAAAUCAGACUUGCCCUCUUGGAAAUGUGGUCCAGAUUUCUCUACUCCCAAGCUCCAAAAAAAGGUAUACAUUGGAUGGGCUAGAUCAGCUCCUCCUGAGAGCCAUAAAUCCACCAAGAGUUGUUUUCCACGUAAGGGUGUGGUACAAUGGGGAAUACCUGAUGUUGGAGGAAAGUGGGAGGACUUUGGAGUGGAGUUGCAUUCUAAUCUCUCUGCCACAUCAACUAUGUGACCUGGGGCAAAUGAUAUAAACUCUAUGAGCCUCCCUUCUUAUCUUUAAAAUGAAGAGAAGUAAUACCUACCUUGUAGGGUUGUUGUGAGGAUUAAAUGAAGUAAUGCAUAUGGUACCUAACAAAGUAUUUAACAUCAUAUUUUUUAAAAGCUCAUGAAAUAUUAGUUUUUCUUCCUUCCCCUCUUUCUAUUUUCUCCCCUGUUCCCUUUUCUCUCCCUCCUCUGCCCUCGCCUUCCUUCAGAUGUUAGUCUAAAACAGCACCUUGGAUCUAAGCAGCACCUUUGAGAAAGAAAAGACUGCUUCAAGAAUGUCUAGUUGCACCUCCUUUCCAUAUGUGGCCCGAAUGCCUAGGUUGGAUCAGUAGUUUAAUUUUUUUAUUGAACUGUUUAAUGUCGACUAUGGACUUACGUUCACUUUUACUGUUUUCUGUAUAUUUAUUUUUGCUUGAACUGUUUUAAUAUUGACUAUUUACCUCUGCUCAUUUUUAUUGAUUUUCUGUAUUUUUUCAAUGAAAAUUAUAAUAAAAAUUAGUUUUUGUUA